This 714-nucleotide ribosomal RNA is filed under the name Triticum aestivum (bread wheat). Its description in RNAcentral is "partial small subunit ribosomal RNA". The record is from RNAcentral. Lineage: Eukaryota; Viridiplantae; Streptophyta; Magnoliopsida; Poales; Poaceae.
AUGGACAUCGUGACCGCAUAUCUUUACGGGUCACUAGAUUCGGACAUAUAUAUGAAGGUUCCUGAUAGAAUCUCUGUCCCAAAUAAAAAUGCAAAACGCAACAUGUAUUGUGUAAAGCUGAAUAAGUCAUUAUAUGACUUAAGGCAGUCAGGACGGAUGUGGUACAACCGACUCAGUGAGUUCCUUCUUCAGAAAGGUUACUCCAAUAGAGCUGAUUGCCCAUGUGUUUUCAUCAAGAAGUCCUCUACAGGAUUUUGCAUCAUUUCUGUGUAUGUUGAUGAUCUCAACAUCAUCGGCAGCACACCAGACAUUGAUGAAGCACGCAAUCACCUAAAGAUGGAAUUUGAGAUGAAGGAUUUGGGUAAAACCAAAUUUUGCUUAGGUAUUCAACUUGAGCAUCUUCCCUCAGGAAUCAUGGUACACCAAUCUGCCUAUAUCCAGAAAAUAUUGGAGAAAUUCAAUAUGGACAAAUCAUAUCCAUCCAAAACUCCUAUGGUGGUUCGAUCUCUAGACGUGGAGAAAGAUCCGUUCAAACCAAGGGAUGAUGGAGAAGAGGUGUUGGGACCUGAAGUUCCAUACCUCAGUGCCGUUGGAGCGCUUAUGUAUCUUGCAAAUUGCACAAGACCUGAUAUUGCAUUUGCAGUGAAUCUACUUGCUAGACAUAGCGCAGCUCCCACCAAACGUCAUUGGUCUGGAGUGAAGAAUAUCUUUUGA